CACGUAGGGGCCAAGCGUUGUCCGGAUUCAUUGGGCGUAAAGAGCUCGUAGGCGGCUCAUUGCGUCAACCGUGAAAACCAGCAGCUCAACUGUUGGCUUGCGGUUGAUACGGGUGGGCUGGAGUUCGGUAGGGGAGACUGGAAUUCCUGGUGUAGCGGUGAAAUGCGCAGAUAUCAGGAGGAACACCGGUGGCGAAGGCGGGUCUCUGGGCCGAUACUGACGCUGAGGAGCGAAAGCGUGGGGAGCGAACAGG
This 253-nucleotide ribosomal RNA is filed under the name uncultured bacterium. RNAcentral describes it as "partial 16S ribosomal RNA". It matches the Rfam family "Bacterial small subunit ribosomal RNA", at positions 524 to 776 of the family's 1533-position model. The record is from RNAcentral.